UCUUUAUGCAGGGGGUGUACCCACAUCCCCUUUCUAACCAUGAGCUUCCAUCCUCUUCCUCAUAGCUCCAGCCCAUGGAUGGGGUAUCGUGGCUAUGGCACCCCUGAAACUGAAGCCCCCCGAGGGGGGACCCAGCUCUCGGCUUCCAUCCCCACAUCCUUCUUUUCCAAGCAGCUGCUCAGGAGUAAACAAGGCACGGGCUGGAAAAGGGCUGAGGAGAAGCCUGAGCCCCAAAAGCAGGUGGAGGCCCCCCCCAAGAACGUCUUUGGGCAGCCCCUGCUUCAGGUGUUGCUGUGGGACCUCCGCUCCCCUGCACAGGAGCUACAAGUCCACCGUCAAGGAUGACCUCAAGAAGCUCAUCAUCACGGACACCACCAGCCUGGAGCAGGAGCGUGCCCCGGUGAGCCGGGAAUGCCAUGGCCAAGGGGCCUCCAAACACAACCAGGGGGGCCAAUCAUGAACAGUGGGGCCCAACCAUAACCAAUGGGGCCUCAACCAUGACCAUUGGGGUCCAGCCAUGACCAGUGGGGGUUCAACCAUGACCAAUGGGGUCCAACCAUGACCAGGGAUGGUUCAACCACGACCAGUGGGGGUCCAACCAUGACCAAUGGGGCUUCAACCACAACCAUGUGCUCACCCCCUCUUUCCCCCCCCAGACCCCCCCCAAGGGGCUCCUGAGGACCCUGUCAGAUGAAAGCCUUUGUGAUGGGCGCUGGGACCUCGCUUACACCAGUGGGAGCCCAGUGCUGGAACCUGAGGGGGGCUUUGGAAGCACGUACCCCUCCAGCACCCUGCCCAAGCGCCGCCAGCACCCAGCCACCACCAGCGGGGGCCUCCAUGACAAGAAGGCUGAGUGCUGGAAUCAUGGGAUGGGUUGGGAUAGGAAGGA
Neopsephotus bourkii (Bourke's parrot) is the source of this 889-nucleotide long non-coding RNA. RefSeq lists it as uncharacterized. The transcript has 3 exons. Lineage: Eukaryota; Metazoa; Chordata; Aves; Psittaciformes; Psittacidae. The record is from RefSeq and is a predicted model, not a curated record.